This 301-nucleotide ribosomal RNA is filed under the name uncultured bacterium. Its description in RNAcentral is "partial 16S ribosomal RNA". It matches the Rfam family "Bacterial small subunit ribosomal RNA", at positions 509 to 809 of the family's 1533-position model. The record is from RNAcentral.
CAGUCGCCGCGGUAAUACGAAGGGUGCAAGCGUUACUCGGAAUUACUGGGCGUAAAGCGUGCGUAGGUGGUGGUUUAAGUCCGUUGUGAAAGCCCUGGGCUCAACCUGGGAAUUGCAGUGGAUACUGGGUCACUAGAGUGUGGUAGAGGAUAGUGGAAUUUCCGGUGUAGCAGUGAAAUGCGUAGAGAUCGGAGGGAACAUCUGUGGCGAAGGCGACUAUCUGGGCCAACACUGACACUGAGGCACGAAAGCGUGGGGAGCAAACAGGAUUAGAUACCCGCGUAGUCCCUGUCUCUUAUAA